UACGUAGGGUGCAAGCGUUAAUCGGAAUUACUGGGCGUAAAGCGUGCGCAGGCGGUUAUGUAAGACAGUUGUGAAAUCCCCGGGCUCAACCUGGGAACUGCAUCUGUGACUGCAUAGCUAGAGUACGGUAGAGGGGGAUGGAAUUCCGCGUGUAGCAGUGAAAUGCGUAGAUAUGCGGAGGAACACCGAUGGCGAAGGCAGUCCCCUGGGCCUGUACUGACGCUCAUGCACGAAAGCGUGGGGAGCAAACAGG
RNAcentral lists this ribosomal RNA (253 nucleotides) under uncultured bacterium. Its description in RNAcentral is "partial 16S ribosomal RNA". It matches the Rfam family "Bacterial small subunit ribosomal RNA", at positions 524 to 776 of the family's 1533-position model. The record is from RNAcentral.